ACGGCUUCACUCUCACCCUGCAG
Molecule: microRNA, 23 nt
Filed under: Mus musculus (house mouse)
Lineage: Eukaryota; Metazoa; Chordata; Mammalia; Rodentia; Muridae
Description: mmu-miR-6978-3p
Source: miRBase by way of RNAcentral